AUUAUUCCAAGCACACUUUCCAGUAUGCUUACCUUGUUACGACUUAUCUCCUCUCAUAAAUUUGUUAGUGAAAUUAUGUAUAUGUGAAUGUCAAUCUAAUUUGAGGAGGGUGACGGGCGGUGUGUGCGUACUUCAUUGCUCUAUUCAAUUAAGCUCUCUAUUCUUAAUUUACUACUAAAUCCUCCUUUGUCCUUUAGUUUCAUAAGGGUUUCGUAAUGUUCUCUGGGAAAAGAAAAUGUAGCCCAUUUCUUUCCGCUUCAUUGGCUACACCUUGACCUAACGUUUUAUGUUGUCUUGUGCUAACUUAGUGCCUUUUUAGGGUUUGCUGAAGAUGGCGGUAUAUAGGCUGAAUUAGCGAGAAGGGGUAAGGUAGAACGGGGUUUAUCGAUUAUAGAACAGGCUCCUCUAGACGGAUAUAAAGUACCGCCAAGUCCUUUGUGUUUUAAGCUGUAGCUAGUAGUUCUCUGGCAAAUAAUUUUGUAGGUUUAAUUAUUAAGGUUUAGGGCUAAGCAUAGUGGGGUAUCUAAUCCCAGUUUGGGUCUUAGCUAUCGUGCAUUAUAUAAAUGAUUAGAAUUACUUUCGUUAUUGGGCUUAGGUCCUAACAAUGAAUUUUCACAUAUAAGUUGGAUUUUAAUUCUAUUAUGAGAUUUAUAGUUGGCACGUUUUACGCCGAAAAUAAUUAGUUUGGGUUAAUCGUAUGACCGCGGUGGCUGGCACGAAAUUUACCAACCCUGAGAGGUACUAGCUUAGUCAAACUUUCGUUCAUUGCUUAAUAUUUAUCACUGCUGAGUCCCGUGGGGGUGUGGCUAGGCAAGGCGUCUUGAGCUAUAUUAUGUGCUUGAUGCCCUCUCCUUAAGUUUUAGGCAAAUCUUUAAGGGAUUUUACACCGGUUUAUGGAUGUUUGCAUGUGUAAUCUUACCUCCAAUUAAUUAUAAGGCCAGGACCAAACCUUU
This 953-nucleotide ribosomal RNA is filed under the name Rattus norvegicus (Norway rat). Lineage: Eukaryota; Metazoa; Chordata; Mammalia; Rodentia; Muridae. The record is from RNAcentral.